GGUUGAAGUAGAUGAUAAAGUUGUUGUAGGAGCUGCAGUUGUCGUGGGAGCUACAGUUGUUGUAGGUGUAGUUGUUGUGGUUGUCGUAGGAGCUGAAGUUGUAGUUGUUGUAGCAGGAGCUGCAGUGGUUGUCGUAAUAGGUUCUGGAGUUGUAGUGGUCGUUUGAGCAGCAGUUGUUGUAGUUAGAGCUGCAGUGGUUGUCGUAGAGGCAGCUGCUGUGGUUGAAGUAGAUGAUAAAGUUGUUGUAGGAGCUGCAGUUGUCGUGGGAGCUACAGUUGUUGUAGGUGCUGUUGUUGUGGUUGUCGUAGGAGCUGAAGUUGUAGUUGUUGUAGCAGGAGCUGCAGUGGUUGUCGUAAUAGGUUCUGGAGUUGUAGUGGUCGUUUGAGCAGCAGUUGUUGUAGUUAGAGCUGCAGUGGUUGUCGUAGAGGCAGCUGCUGUGGUUGAAGUAGAUGAUAAAGUUGUUGUAGGAGCUGCAGCUGCCGUGGGAGCUACAGUUGUUGUAGGUGUAGUUGUUGUGGUUGUCGUAGGAGCUGAAGUUGUAGUUGUUGUAGCAGGAGCUGCAGUGGUUGUCGUAAUAGGUUCUGGAGUUGUAGUGGUCGUUUGAGCAGCAGUUGUUGUAGUUAGAGCUGCAGUGGUUGUCGUAGAGGCAGCUGCUGUGGUUGAAGUAGAUGAUAAAGUUGUUGUAGGAGCUGCAGUUG
Oncorhynchus keta (chum salmon) is the source of this 698-nucleotide long non-coding RNA. RefSeq lists it as uncharacterized. NCBI's taxonomy places the organism in Eukaryota, Metazoa, Chordata, Actinopteri, Salmoniformes, Salmonidae. The transcript has 3 exons. The record is from RefSeq and is a predicted model, not a curated record.